This 4055-nucleotide long non-coding RNA is filed under the name Salmo salar (Atlantic salmon). RNAcentral's name for it is "lncRNA (ENSSSAG00000113413.1)". Lineage: Eukaryota; Metazoa; Chordata; Actinopteri; Salmoniformes; Salmonidae. The record is from RNAcentral.
GGGCUCUACACUUCACAGUAUGUUCUUUUUGAGUUGGUCCAUGAACUCCAAAAGGGUCAACUAAUAUUUACUUUCACAGGACAAUGUCCUCCACGGACUUGCUGUUCAAAUACACAACCAGUGUAAUUUAGUUUCAUCAUUAUAUUACGGAUGCUGAGAUGAGAGUGAAAUCACCAGAAAGUAGGUGAUAUAGAGAGUAAUAGUAAGAUAGUCACUGAAAGAGAAUAAUGCUGCUCAGAAGCAUCACUUCUUGCCUCCCAUCUUCAGCAACUAUAGACAACCUGUUCUCAGUGGCCAGGGCAGGCAGCUUGGUUCCUGAUAUCUCUCUGGAUGACACACUGCAAAGCUUCCUAUCCCUGGACUCAAGUGCUGCUCUCGAACAACAUUGUGCAGACAUUCAGCAACACUUGUCUGCUGAACAACUCACUGUUUUCAACCAGGACCUGACGUCUUUAUUGGGAGGGAGCACAAAUGUGGCCUUGGGGGGUGUGGGUGUUGUGGCACUAGCCCUGUCUCUACUCUUUGAUGUCUUAGCCCACAAGGCAAAAAGGCAUGGGGACAGCAAGAAUGCUAUGGACCCUACCAAAAUGAUCUUUGGAAUCAGCAAUUCCUCAAGAAUUGGGUCCCUCAUCAGUGAAUACCUGAAGCUGGUCCCUGAGAUAGCCAAUGAUAUGAACAAGAUGGCGGAGGUGACAGAGCUCUAUGACCAGUACCUGAAGUAUGAGCUGAUUGACCAUUUUGAGAGGAUGACGAACAAGAAACGCAUGGGGUCAGUGGCCAUGAAACAGUGGCUGUGUGGGGCAUCUUUCCACCUGCACAUGAGGAUUCAUGAGAUCCGCUUGGGCUCCGUUCCACGAGGCUCAGCAGAAGCACUGCGUCUCUCCUACAAGACUGCGUUCACAAGCCUGGUCAAGCUCUAUACAGCCCACCUACGCAAAAAUAUCCAGGAGACACCACCGGAGCCAGGAGCCAACAGCAUGCCAGGGACUCCUGGUCAUUGAGCCCCACAAGAACGUCACACACAGAGUUCAACACAGUCCCUGUGAGUCCAAGGUCAUUGGAGACGCUCUGCUGACCCGGAUCAUUGCUGCUCAGGAGAUUGAAGCGAGCAAAGACUUCUUUCUGCAGUCUGAACAUGACUUUUAUAAACUGAUCAACCAACGGGAAGGUUUUGAAUUGCAGAAAAGUAAUUCAUAGUCAAAAAGAAUAGUCAAUCAUGACUGUAAUUAAGGUGAUUUAAUGUUAGCUGCAAUCUGAAAAGUAAUGGAAUAAAAGUUCAUUUAAAGGGUGUAGUGGUAGUAUCAACGGUAGCGGUGAAUUUUAUAUUUUGGGAUGGCUAGAUUAAGAAUGCAUUGUGUAACCAGACGCUGAGUCUGUGUCAGCGUAAAUGUAUGUACUGUUUGUGUCUGCACUGAAGUCAGCAUCAGUCAAUGACCUGAUUUUUCAUUGGCUGAAAGAUUAGCCGACAUCUAAUAACCCUAGAUUCCGCUAUUUGGUUAUUAGAUGUUUGUCCUAGCCGGGACAAUGUCCUUCAGACUCUGAGCCCAUCAUGCAUUUAAAUAAACAGGUAGUAUUUGACAAAGUCUUAGGAAAGAGGAGCGUGUGAGACAGACAGCACAGCCCAAACAUGGGUAACAAAGCAUGCAGUCCAUCUUCAGAAACUAUAAACUGUCUGUUUGAGGUAGCCAGCCAUGCAGGCAUCGUUCCUGACAUCUCCCUGGACAGAACCCUCACCAACUUCCUAUCCCGCAACUCCACUGCUGCUCUGGAACAUCAAUAUGCAGCCAUCCAGCAGAACAUGUCGGCUGAGCAACUAACAGCCUUUAACCAGGAUCUGACGUCUGCAUUUGGAGGGAGCACCAAGGUGAGCCUGGGAGGUCUGGGUAUUGUGGCGCUGGCACUGUCACUGCUCUUUGAGGUCUUGACUCACCAGAUCCAUGAGCAAAGGUCAUACAUGGACCCCAUAAGGAGGAUCUUUGGAGCGGAUUACUCUUCAGAAAUCGGCCCUAUAGUCAGUGAGUACCUAAAGCAAGUUCCUGGUAUAGCCAAUGAUAAGAAGAGGAUGGCAGAGCUCCUCGAACAUUAUGACCAGAAGCUUAAACAGGAACUGGAUAACUUCUAUUCGAAGUUGAUCAUAGAGAGUAGAAUGAGCUCCGCUGGCGUGAAACAGUGGCUGAACGGGGCAGCAUUCCACAUGCACAUGCGGAUCCAUAGGUUCCGUCUAACUUCCUUACCAGAAGGCCCUGUAGAUGUGCUGAGCCAGUACUAUCAACUCAGUAUCCCUGGCUUGAUAAAGACUUAUACAGAGUUCCUACAGAGAAAUAUUCAGGAGACCCCCUCGUUGACAAAAUCCAACGGCAUGUCUGGGCUCCUGGUCAUUGAACCCUACAGGAACGUCACACACAGAGUUCAACACAGGCCCUGUGAAUCCAAGGUCAUUGAAGACCUCCUGCUGGCCCGGAUCAUUGCUGCUCAGGACAUUGAGCAGAGUAAAUACUUCUUUCUGCAUACUGAAAGUGACUUUGAUGAUCUGAUCAAACAACGGGGAGAUUUUGAGCUGAAGAAAUGAAUGAAAUCAUAUUUAUCUGCAUAAUGCACAGUGGUAGAAAUAACGAUUUUUACUCUUAUAGUUGGCUUAUUACCUGUAAUUAAUGUCUACUCAUGUUACAAACACAAAAAAUAUUUGAUUACCACAUAAUAAAGUAACAAAAAUUGAGAUAAACCAGCAUUCAUAAUGUUCUGUAGUGUGGGACUUCGGCACACAUUCCUAUUUACAGGGGGUCCUGUGUAAAAAGGGGGUGUUGUGUGAGGAGAUUGUGGUGAUUGGAUGUUGGAGGGUUCUGAAGAGGAACGGUAUUAGGAGAGGACCUCUGACAGGUUCAUUGAUAAUGUUGUAGAGUUGUAUAACUGUGGUAUAGUAUUAAUGCGCUGACCAAUCUCAUGCAUCUGUUUCAUACAUGGCUUCUGUUCCUGUGCCUUCCGUAUCACUGGUUAGCUACCUUGAGCUGAUAGCUAUAUCAAUUGUGUGUGUGUGUGUGUGUGUGUGUGUGUGUGUGUGUGUGUGUGUGUGUGUGUGUGUGUGUGUGUGUGUGUCUGUCUGUCUGUCUGUCUGUCUGUCUGUCUGUCUGUCUGUCUGUCUGUCUGUCUGUCUGUCUGUCUGUCUGUCUGUCUGUCUGUCUGUCUGUCUGUCUGUCUGUCUGUGUGCGUGCGUGCGUGCGCAGGGUUGCAGUACGUGCAUGUGCGUGUGUCUGUGUAGGGGGUGCAUCACUGUGUGUUUAUGUGCAGCUGUGUGUAGGAUUGGGCGCAGAAAUGUUUUUCAACACUAUCUGGUUGCUGCCAUCUUAAGGUCAGCCAGCUCCACAGAGUCGGCACAGGGCUGUAAUUGAAAGUAGAGCAUGUGAGCGGAGCUGCUGUAUUGAUAAGAGAGCAUCAGGCUCCGUCAGCAGGCCCUGUGUACGUCAGUGUCCCUGGGGAGGGGAGGAGGUGCUGGGAGUAUGCCAUUUGUUGGAGCAGGCCUCUCGUAAUGGGGAGGCAGGGUGUAGGGGAGGAGGCAGGGAGGGGAGUCAGGCUGGGGGAGGAAAUAGGCAUGGGGGUGGGUUGGUGUGGGCAGCCAGCAAAUAUAUAAAUAUAUGUGUAAUAGCCGCAGAUCUGCCAAUUAAGGGAGAUGUAAUGGGAGCAUGUGUGAGGUGUGCUAAUGAAGACAAGUGGGUGAACUAAUGUAACAGCACACACUAAAUGUGUGUGUGUGUGUGUGUGUGUGUGUGUGUGUGUGUGUGUGUGUGUGUGUGUGUGUGUGUGUGUGUGUGUGUGUGUGUGUGUGUGUGUGUGUGUGUGUGUGUGUGUGUGUGUGUGUGUGUAUGGGAGUGUGGGAGAGUUUUGCUACCUUGUGCCUGUAGAACAGCUCUUCAGUGCCACAGAGUUGAGUGUGAGGGGGCAGAGCACAGUGGGGUGUGAGGGGGCAGAGCACAGUGAGGUGUGAGGGGGCAGAGCACAGCGGGGUGUGAGAGGGCAGAGCACAGUGGAGUGUGAGGAGGCAAAGCACAGUGGGGUGUGAG